This 20-nucleotide microRNA is filed under the name Ciona intestinalis (vase tunicate). RNAcentral's name for it is "cin-miR-96-5p". Its record names the gene cin-miR-96-5p. The record is from miRBase by way of RNAcentral. Lineage: Eukaryota; Metazoa; Chordata; Ascidiacea; Phlebobranchia; Cionidae.
UUUGGCACUUGCACAAUAUU